GACGAACGCUGGCGGCGUGCCUAAUACAUGCAAGUUGAGCGCUGAAGGUUGGUACUUGUACCAACUGGAUGAGCAGCGAACGGGUGAGUAACGCGUGGGGAAUCUGCCUUUGAGCGGGGGACAACAUUUGGAAACGAAUGCUAAUACCGCAUAAAAACUUUAAACACAAGUUUUAAGUUUGAAAGAUGCAAUUGCAUCACUCAAAGAUGAUCCCGCGUUGUAUUAGCUAGUUGGUGAGGUAAAGGCUCACCAAGGCGAUGAUACAUAGCCGACCUGAGAGGGUGAGCGCCCACAUUGGGAGUGAGACAGGCCACAAACCCAUCGGGGAGGAAGCGGUAGGAAUGCUGGGGAAAGGGACGAAGGUCGGACGGAGAAACGCGGAGAGAGGGAAGAGGUUUUUCGGAUGGAAAAACUCUGUGGGUAGAAAAGACCGUGUGGGGGAGGGGAAAGCCCAUAAAGGGAGGUAAACUACCAAAAAGGGGACGGCAAACUACGUG
RNAcentral lists this ribosomal RNA (497 nucleotides) under uncultured bacterium. RNAcentral describes it as "partial 16S ribosomal RNA". It matches the Rfam family "Bacterial small subunit ribosomal RNA", at positions 28 to 507 of the family's 1533-position model. The record is from RNAcentral.